CUGCGGAAGGAUCAUUACUGAGUAAGGGUCCCUCGGGGCCCAACCUCCCACCCGUGUAUACCGUACCUUGUUGCUUGGGGCGAGCCCGCCCCCUUUUUCUUAGGGGGGCACAGCGCUCGCCGGAGACACCAACGUGAACACUGUCUGAAGUUUUGUCGUCUGAGUCGAUUGUAUCGCAAUCAGUUAAAACUUUCAACAAUGGAUCUCUUGGUUCCGGCAUCGAUGAAGAACGCAGCGAAAUGCGAUAAUUAAUGUGAAUUGCAGAAUUCAGUGAAUCAUCGAGUCUUUGAACGCACAUUGCACCCCCUGGUAUUCCGGGGGGUAUGCCUGUCCGAGCGUCAUUGCUGCCCUCAAGCACGGCUUGUGUGUUGGGUCGUCGUCCCCCCCGGGGGACGGGCCCGAAAGGCAGCGGCGGCACCGCGUCCGGUCCUCGAGCGUAUGGGGCUUUGUCACACCGCUCUUGUAGGCCCGGCCGGCUGCUGGCCGACGCUGAA
This 494-nucleotide unclassified non-coding RNA is filed under the name Aspergillus ochraceus. RNAcentral's name for it is "sequence contains ITS1, 5.8S rRNA gene and ITS2". The stretch from base 188 to 341 matches the Rfam family "5.8S ribosomal RNA". The record is from RNAcentral. Lineage: Eukaryota; Fungi; Ascomycota; Eurotiomycetes; Eurotiales; Aspergillaceae.